Cynara cardunculus var. scolymus (artichoke) is the source of this 2398-nucleotide long non-coding RNA. RefSeq lists it as uncharacterized. The transcript has 5 exons. The record is from RefSeq and is a predicted model, not a curated record. Lineage: Eukaryota; Viridiplantae; Streptophyta; Magnoliopsida; Asterales; Asteraceae.
UCAUAUAAUUUUUAAACUAUAAGGACUAAAAUAGCAAUUUCACCAAACCAAAAGGACUAAACAUUAAUCUUUAGCCGGGACUCUAGAAAGCACUUGAAAAACAAAUCCCUCGAAAUCUCGAUCAAAAUCAAAGAAUUCAAAAUUCUCGAAGAAGGAUUCAAAUGGCAUCAUCUUCAUCUUCAUCUUCUUCUUCAACAUCGAGCAGUGGAUUAACACUCAAGCUUCAUCCACUGGUUAUUGUCAACAUAUCGGAUCACUACACACGUGUCAAGUCCCAAGCUCAAGCCCCAACCACCAACGCCAUUGCCAUUGCCAUUGCCGACGUCACCGCCACUUCUUCUUCACCUAGGGUUUUUGGUUGGUAAUCAGAGUUCAACGAGGACGUACCGUCGAGAUCUUCAAUAGUUUCGAGCUUCUCUAUGAUCCUUCAACUCAUUCACUCGAUCGUUCCUUCCUCGAAAAGAAGCAAGAGCUCUGUCAGUAUAUAACCUUCGAUCUAUGAUAUAUGGUUUCUGUUAUCACGCUGGUUUUGGUUUUCCCAAUUUUUACAUACUUGGAUGGUAUUCCACUGGAGGUAAUGCAGAAGAAUUGGAUAUGCACAUACACAAAGCUGUGAGUAGUAAUGUCCCUUAUGUGAAAACUUCAAAUGGUGAAAAUUUCAUUUGAAUAUCUAUCUACACACACACACACAUAUAUAUACAUUGUGAUAACCGUAGAACUUUUAUUUUUAAGUAUUGUUUCGCAUGAAUUUUUCCAUCUAAGGCUAGUAUAUAAUUCAUUGAUUAACAUAUAUUCAUUUUGCAAUGAGUUUGUUUCAUAUGUAUCUGGUUCAUAACGUGAAACCUGUAUUUUUUUUUUUUGUUUCACGAGCACGCCAAAAAGUUUCGUGUUGUGAAACAUAUAUAUGUUAGUCAAUACCCUAAAUUUUAGCCUUAGAUGUAAAAAAUCAUAUGAAAUAACAUAUGAUGCACCGGUUCUCAGGCUUCUUGCAAUCUUGUAGGUUCUCAAAUGGUUAGCCUCCUAUAUAUGUGUAUGUAUGUAUGUAUUCACUUAGUUUAUGUGUAAAGACCAUGGUGGUGGAUUAUUUUGCAACAGUUGAUGGAUAUCAAUUAAAGCCCUUCAUAUGUUCUUUUGAAUCCUUCAAUCAAUCAUGCACAGAAGGACCUCCCUGUAACUAUUUACGAGAGUGAGUUGCAUGUUAUUGAUGGGAUUCCACAGCUUAUUUUUGUACACUCAAGCUACACUAUAAGGGUUUGCUCUAAAAUGCUUAUUUUGGUAUUCUUUUCUCUCUAGAAAGAUUUAGUUUAUGUUUAUGAAUAUGUUCUUAUAUUGCUCAAUGGUAGAAGCAGAAAGGGUCUCAGUGACCAUGUUGCACAUCUGAAACCAUCCGAUGGAGGUUCAGCUGCCACUCAAUGUGAGGCCUAUGAUUCCGUCACCUAUAGUAUGAAAUUCCCUAAAUAUGACUUUAUCAUCGAUAAUCUCUGUUUUCAGCGGUAUGUGAAAACUUUGAUCGUUUAAUGUAUUAUUGUAGUGGCUGUGCACUUGAUGGGAAUACAUAGUGCUAUCAAGAUGCUUAAUAGCAGAAUCUGAGUGCUUCAUCACUUUCUUCAUGCUAUGCAAAGAGGAAUAUAAUGACACACUAUUCAUUAGUUAUGUGGGCAUGUUCACCAACUGCUCAAGCACGAUCAACGAUCUGGUUAUGACAAGCCUACUCGGAGAACAAACUUUCAUAUGAAAGUUGCUUGAAUCAUACAUCAAAAGUGUUAGUCCCAAACGUUGAUUGACCACCGUCACAUUGGUCGGAAAACAUAGGAAGUGCUGCUGUAUCAUCUUGCUUAUGGGCUAACAGGCCUUGCUUGCAUGACGGUGUUUCAUUGUGAGAUAUAUGGAACACGACCCUGAAAUUUUUGGGUCCAAUUAUUGUAUUUUAGGUUUUUAUCUUUUGGCCGAUUUGAUGAUUCAUGGUUCCGUUUUUCAAAGAAUGCUAGGAGAACGAUCUUAUUCUAAGUGAUUACUUGUCUCAAAAUAAACGUCCAUUUGGAAAAUAAGUUUUCAAUGUCCCAUUCUACCCUUGAUCAUCAAGAUUAAUAAUAUCAUUUGGCUAUUUAAAGGGUAAUAUUUACACAUAUGUAUCACUUAAGGAAUAUAAUAUAUGGUAUAGAUUUUUGUUAUUUUGGUUAUAUUUAUUACUUGUUCGGUCGUCUAUAAUUUCAAUACUGUGGCGGUGAAUAUGACACCCACAAUCCAAAACUCAUGAUUUCCAGAGGUUCAUUUAGCAUUUUAAUUUGUGAUUUCAAGCAGACAUGCAGUUUUCACUUUUAUACAUUAACCGUAUAUUUGUUAGAACAAUAACCUUUUGACAGGCUUACGAAAUAUUUGCAGAAAGGUUACAAUAAUG